Long non-coding RNA from Ochotona curzoniae (black-lipped pika), 570 nucleotides. RefSeq lists it as uncharacterized. Lineage: Eukaryota; Metazoa; Chordata; Mammalia; Lagomorpha; Ochotonidae. The transcript is spliced from 4 exons. The record is from RefSeq and is a predicted model, not a curated record.
CUGGGUUCUCCUGUAAAGGGAAUACUGUUUGCCUCUUUAAAAUCUUGUGCAUUAGAAAUCUUUCCUUAACCAUGAGCCCCAUACGUUGCCUGCUCCAACAUACUGUGAAAUUAUCAAGGAGUCAAAAACACAAUUUGAAAGGAACUACAAGGAAUUCAGGAUAGAAAAGCAAAGAAUUAAUGAAGAAAUAAAACUCCUAAAACAGCGACAGGAAAGAAUUGACAAAGAGCUAGACAGACUCCAAGCAAAGGCUAUGAAGAAACCCUAUGAAGUUCAGGAUGACUUUGACAAGUUCCUACACAAACUGCGUUCUGAAGAAAACAUGGAUUUAGAUUAUAAGGCAUCACAAUCAUCAUCAGCAACAACAACAACAGAAUUCUACCCCUCAGAGGAAGUAGAACACUAUGAGUAACCAGAAAUUAACUAUAUUCAAUAAUACACACCAAGCAAUUGUAGGAGUUUAAUUGUAGCAGUAUGUUUAUUCAAUUCAAGUUCAAUCCAUGUGUGUCUAAAGUGUUCUAUCAUUUAUCCUUAAAAUCUACAAAUCUCAGUAAAUCAUCUUUAAAAUAU